This 202-nucleotide non-coding RNA is filed under the name uncultured eukaryote. The record is from RNAcentral.
UUUUUUGUAUCAUCGUAAUCGGGUUUGAUAUUCGUAUUUUUGUAUAUAAAAAAAAGAGAAAGAGCGAGAAGGGUGCGCAUAAAAAAAAGAAAUAAAAAAGGAGAGGUGUGCGUCGAAGCUAGAUUAAAAGAGUCUUUUGUUCUCAUUAUUUCACUAUCUCAUUAUUCUGAUUCUUUUUCUUGCCUAAAAAAGAAAAAAAAAA